Molecule: ribosomal RNA, 1545 nt
Filed under: uncultured prokaryote
Description: partial 16S ribosomal RNA
Rfam family: Bacterial small subunit ribosomal RNA
Source: RNAcentral
AGAGUUUGAUCCUGGCUCAGAGUGAACGCUGGCGGCGUGGAUUAGGCAUGCAAGUCGAGCGAUGGCAUAUGAUGCGAGGCCGCAAGGCCAAGUUGAUUAUGUCAUAGCGGCAAACGGGUGAGUAACAGGUGAGCAAUCUUCCCUUAAGAUGGACAUAGCACCGUGAAAACGGUGGUAAUUUCCAAUAGUAUCCUUAUACCGCAUGGUGUUUGGAUUAAAGGUGGGGACCUUCGGGCCUACCACUUAAGGAUGAGCUCGCCUCCUAUCAGCUAGUUGGUGAGGUAACGGCCUACCAAGGCAUUUGACGGGUAGCUGGUCUGAGAGGAUGGUCAGCCACACUGGGACUGAGACACUGCCCAGACUCCUACGGGAGGCUGCAGUCGAGAAUCUUUCACAAUGGGGGAAACCCUGAUGAUGCGACGCCGCGUGCAGGACGAAGGCUUUCGGGUCGUAAACUGCUUUUGUCAGGAAAGAAUACUCCGUCGGAAAUACCGGCGGAACUGACGGUACCUGAUGAAUAAGCCACGGCCAACUCCGUGCCAGCAGCCGCGGUAAUACGGAGGUGGCAAGCGUUACUCGGAAUCAUUGGGUGUAAAGGGCAAGUAGGCGGUCUAAUAAGCGAGGGGUGAAAUCCUGCGGCUCAAUCGCAGAACUGCCUUUCAAACUAGUAGGCUUGAGGCCAGAAGGGGGAAACGGAAUUGGCAGUGUAAGGGUGAAAUCUGUAGAUAUUGCCAAGAACACCAACAGCGAAGGCAGUUUCCUGGUCUGGUUCUGACGCUAAAUUGCGAAAGCUAGGGUAGCAAACGGAAUUAGAUACUCCGGUAGUCCUAGCCGUAAACGAUGAGUACUAGGUGUUGGACCCUUGGGUUCAGCGUCGUAGCUAACGCAUUAAGUACUCCACCUGGGGACUACGGCCGCAAGGCUAAAACUCAAAGGAAUUGACGGGGACCCGCACAAGCGGUGGAACAUGUGGUUUAAUUCGAUGCUACGCGAAGAACCUCAGCAAGGCUUGACAUGCAGGCAGUAGUGAUCCGAAAGGUGACCGACCCGUUAAGUCCGGGAAGCUACACAGGUGCUGCAUGGCUGUCGUCAGCUCGUGUCGUGAGAUGUUGGGUUAAGUCCCGCAACGAGCGCAACCAUUGCCCUAUGUUGCCACCCCAGUAUCGUUUUCGCAAGAAAACCGAAGGGCGCACUCUUAGGAGACUGCCUGGGAUAACCAGGAGGAAGGUGGAGAUGACGUCAAGUCAGUACGGCCCUUAUGCCCUGGGCUACACACGUGUUACAAUGCCUAGUACAAAGGGUUGCCAACCCGCGAGGGGGAGCUAAUCUCAAAAAGCUGGGCUCAGUUCGGAUUGGAGUCUGCAAUUCGACUCCAUGAAGCUGGAAUCGCUAGUAAUGGAAGAUCAGCACGCUUCCGUGAAUACGUUCCCGGGUCUUGUACACACCGCCCGUCAAGCGAUGAAAGCCGGGGGUACCCGAAGUCCUAUGUAGAUAGGCCGAAGGUAAAAUCGGUGAUUGGCGCUAAGUCGUAACAAGGUAGCCGUA